This 278-nucleotide long non-coding RNA is filed under the name Mytilus galloprovincialis (Mediterranean mussel). The record is from RNAcentral. Lineage: Eukaryota; Metazoa; Mollusca; Bivalvia; Mytilida; Mytilidae.
GUACAAUCAUCAGCAUGUUGGAAAAGUUUUAUUGGAUCUUUUAAAUUUGGAAUGUUAAUGCCUUUUAUGUUUUUAUUUCUUCUUAUUGAGCUUGCCAGUGUUUCAAUAGCUAAGGCAUAUAAAUUCAUAGAGAGCGGACAGCCUUGUCUAACUGAUCUUGUAAUUAAAAUUUCUUCUGUUAACUGACCAUUGACUUGUAUUUUACUUUUUAUAUCUUUAUAUAGUAUCUUAAUCCAUCUUACGAAUUCUACUGGUAGGUUCAUUUUCUUUAAAACUUU